GAUGAACGCUGACAGAAUGCUUAACACAUGCAAGUCGAUGGGGAAGUGGUGCUUGCACCAUGGCAACCAUGGCGGACUGGUGAGUAACGCGUAAGGGACUUACCUGCAGGACUGGGAUAACAGGGGGAAACUCCUGACAAGACCGGAUAAUGUCAUGGAGCUGCAUGGCUUUAUGAUGAAAGGAGACGCCUGCGGAGAGCCUUGCGUCCUAUUAGCUAGUUGGUGAGGUAAUGGCUCACCAAGGCGAAGAUAGGUAGCCGGCCUGAGAGGGUGGACGGCCACAAGGGGACUGAGAUACGGCCCUUACUCCUACGGGAGGCAGCAGUGGGGAAUAUUGGACAAUGGGGGCAACCCUGAUCCAGCAAUUCUGUGUGCACGAAGAAGGUUUUCGGAUUGUAAAGUGCUUUCAGCAGGGAAGAAGUAAGUGACGGUACCUGCAGAAGAAGCGACGGCUAAAUACGUG
Molecule: ribosomal RNA, 463 nt
Filed under: uncultured bacterium
Lineage: Bacteria
Description: partial 16S ribosomal RNA
Rfam family: Bacterial small subunit ribosomal RNA
Source: RNAcentral